Molecule: transfer RNA, 76 nt
Filed under: Gammaproteobacteria bacterium
Lineage: Bacteria; Pseudomonadati; Pseudomonadota; Gammaproteobacteria
Also listed under: 4 other names
Description: tRNA-Asn
Rfam family: tRNA
About the family: Transfer RNA (tRNA) molecules are approximately 80 nucleotides in length. Their secondary structure includes four short double-helical elements and three loops (D, anti-codon, and T loops).
Source: RNAcentral
UCCCUGAUAGCUCAGUUGGUAGAGCAACGGACUGUUAAUCCGUUUGUCCCUGGUUCGAGUCCAGGUCGGGGAGCCA